GGGAAAGUGGCUCAGUGGUAGAGCGCUUGCCUUGCAUGCAAGAGGCCCUGGGUUUGAUCCCCUAGCACCA
RNAcentral lists this transfer RNA (70 nucleotides) under Dipodomys ordii (Ord's kangaroo rat). It matches the Rfam family "tRNA". From Rfam's summary of the family: Transfer RNA (tRNA) molecules are approximately 80 nucleotides in length. Their secondary structure includes four short double-helical elements and three loops (D, anti-codon, and T loops). The record is from Rfam by way of RNAcentral. Lineage: Eukaryota; Metazoa; Chordata; Mammalia; Rodentia; Heteromyidae.